GCUGCCUACCCGGGAGGGAACGAGGCCCGGCGCAAAGUUUGGUGGGGAGACGCUAGGAGGGUGCAUUAAAAAAAAAAAAAAAUUCUGAAAAGCCUGCAAAAGGAUCGAAGAGUGGAAACUAUUGUUGGAGCGAGUUGGUUUUUACCUCAACAGCGCCACCUUUCGGCAAAGGUUUCUUCCUUGGAAAACAAUAUACAUCACUUAAUGAAAUCUUUGUUUGUUUUGCACAAGAGAUGUAAAAAAUCCAGAUGUUUUCUUCAGUGAGAAUUCCUGGGAAGGUGUACCAGCCUUCUUCUCUUUCUUCACCUGACAAAGACACCCAACACGGCCUCUCAGACCGGAGGUGUUUAAUAUAUAGUUUUGACACGCAUGAACAUGGGAAUGAAAGGGCUCCUUUUGGUUUUAGACAAUAGACAGAGCUAUAAAAUGAUGAUGGAGCCUGUUUUCCCCACUCUUGUCAUUUUAAGUCAAUAGAUUUCCUGGGUUUCUUCCCCCGCCCCCCCACUUUGCCUUUUCAGGGGAUAGGCAUCUCCUUAGAUUUUUGUUUUUCUUCACUUAGGGUCAGCUUUAUGAUUCGUUCUUCUGCUGUCAUCCUUUUUCAUCCUAUUCACAGCCUGUACCGGUGAGGGAAUUUGUCUCAAAAGCAUUCAGCCCUUCAAAGAUUUUUAUUGUGGUGAACUCAGAACUGAUAAACAGAAAAACAGAAACAGAAAAAGGGAACUGAUAUGGGGGCGAUCUUGAUGCGGGUUGUGUCUCUCAUGCAUGAUAACUCAGAGGACAGGCUCCUCGGUAGUGCGGUAGUGCUAACUCUGUGAAGUUUCUUCACCCUCCUUCCUAGCCCUGGAGGCGGGGUGAUUCAUAGCUCCUGUUCCAAAGGCAUUCAGCAGCCAUUCGACCUGGGAAAGAAACAGAGUUUUAGAAAAUACAGGCCAAAUGUAGAGACGCCUGUGAUUACCAGGAUGAGUAUGUCAGUGCAGGUGGCUUCUGAAUUUCUGUUUCUGAGUUUGUUUGGCUGAUGCCUAAGGAAAGGGGUCCCUUACAGCCCUGUUUUAUACCUUAGUUCUUGGUGGCAACGUGGGUGUUGCUGAUCUCUCUGAUGUGUUUUUCUGUGCACUGAAAACACCAGACAUGCUCCGUGACAUCCUCGGAGCAUCUCCCAUCAUAAUGGAGUGUUCCUAACCUGACAAAGAAUAGCAUAUUACCUCCCCAUCUACUCAAAAUAAAAUUAUAGUAAAAUUUAUCGCCCUUCUGCUAAUAUUUUUUAUUUAGUAACUUUAUAACAGUGAUACAUACUCCUUAUUAAAUAUAAACAUUUGAACAGGAC
This 1324-nucleotide long non-coding RNA is filed under the name Homo sapiens (human). RNAcentral's name for it is "non-protein coding lnc-WWOX-4:12". Lineage: Eukaryota; Metazoa; Chordata; Mammalia; Primates; Hominidae. The record is from RNAcentral.